Molecule: transfer RNA, 74 nt
Organism: Roseburia sp. CAG:197
Lineage: Bacteria; Bacillati; Bacillota; Clostridia; Lachnospirales; Lachnospiraceae
Rfam family: tRNA
About the family: Transfer RNA (tRNA) molecules are approximately 80 nucleotides in length. Their secondary structure includes four short double-helical elements and three loops (D, anti-codon, and T loops). Further hydrogen bonds mediate the characteristic L-shaped molecular structure. tRNAs have two regions of fundamental functional importance: the anti-codon, which is responsible for specific mRNA codon recognition, and the 3' end, to which the tRNAs corresponding amino acid is attached (by aminoacyl-tRNA synthetases). tRNAs cope with the degeneracy of the genetic code in two manners: having more than one tRNA (with a specific anti-codon) for a particular amino acid; and 'wobble' base-pairing, i.e. permitting non-standard base-pairing at the 3rd anti-codon position.
Source: Rfam
CGGCGCGUGGCUCAGCUUGGUAGAGCGCUGCGUUCGGGACGCAGAGGUCGCAGGUUCAAAUCCUGUCGCGCCGA